GAUAUUUCACCGAAAUCAUACGUAACUGUCAUUAGUUGCAGCAACUACAACAAUAAGCUGCUUGAGGAAUGAUUCGGAAUGACACAGAGUAGACAUGCCAUAAUGUUAAAAAUAGAAGUACACUUCACAGAUAUGUUGAAAGAAAUUUUAACGGUUUGUUAACAUAUUAAUAUAUAAAUUGUAACACCAAUAGUUUUAACCUAAAAGUUUCGUUUAAUUUGCGAUAUAAAUUUAAUGCUGGUGUAAUGUUUAUCAUUUACGUUUAAUGAAUAUAUCGAACAACUGCAUACAAGAAUAUGCUUCA
Molecule: long non-coding RNA, 304 nt
Organism: Ooceraea biroi (clonal raider ant)
Lineage: Eukaryota; Metazoa; Arthropoda; Insecta; Hymenoptera; Formicidae
Source: RefSeq, a predicted model, not a curated record